RNAcentral lists this ribosomal RNA (497 nucleotides) under uncultured bacterium. Its description in RNAcentral is "partial 16S ribosomal RNA". It matches the Rfam family "Bacterial small subunit ribosomal RNA", at positions 28 to 507 of the family's 1533-position model. The record is from RNAcentral.
GACGAACGCUGGCGGCGUGCCUAAUACAUGCAAGUUGAGCGCUGAAGGUUGGUACUUGUACCGACUGGAUGAGCAGCGGACGGGUGAGUAACGCGUGGGGAAUCUGCCUUUGAGCGGGGGACAACAUUUGGAAACGAAUGCUAAUACCGCAUAAAAACUUUAAACACAAUGUUUAAGUUUGAAAGAUGCAAUUGCAUCACUCAAAGAUGAUCCCGCGUUGUAUUAGCUAGUUGGUGAGGUAAAGGCGCACCAAGGCGAUGAUACAUAGCCGACCUGAGAGGGUGCUCGGCCACACUGGGACGGAGACACGGCCCAAACUCCUACGGGAGGCAGCAGUAGGGAAUCUUCGGAAAUAGACGAAAGUCUGACCGAGCAACGCCGCGUGAGUGAAGAAGGUUUUCGGAUCGUAAAACUCUGUUGGUAGAGAAGAACGUUGGUGAGAGUGGAAAGCUCAUAAAGUGACGGUAACUACCCAGAAAGGGACGGCUAACUACGUG